GACUUCUGGCAAUCAAACCCAAGAGUGAAUAUAGCAAAUGAAAGGGUCGAAGCAAUUAUAGAUGAAAUCAAUUGGAUGAGGGAGAGGGAGAGAAGACUACAGAGAGGGGGGGAGAAGACCUAGGGCUCUCCGGCCACAGCGGUUGAUAGUUGAUUGCUCAUGUACGCUAUGGCCGUGAAGAUUUGGGGUUUUACAUAUCCCGUGGAAGUUGGCUUGUUCGUUUACUCCGAGUAAAUUAGGAGUUUAAUUACAUUCAUUUGUACAUGUGGAGAGUUUAAUGUUUAUUGCUGCUGGAGUUUAUUUUGGUUAACAACAUAAAUGGCCCGUCUAGCUUCUGGUGGUGGGUGUUGGUGGUGGGUCGGGAGUUACUGACCCGUCUAGCUUCUGGUUUUGAAACAUUCUGAGCUUUUUGGAAUUAGGCCCUCUUGUAAAAUGGCAAAUUAAAGAGAUGUGGUGAAAGCACCAAAUUGGUGUAUGCUAAUGUCACCACCCAAGAUGUGUCUUCUUUUGGAACCGACUGAUCAGAACAAAGAUGUUGAAAAAGGCUGAUGGUAUAGCAGGUGUGGUUUCAUGCAAAGAAGGUAUAUGAAGGUGACAGAAGUCUCACAAAGAACUGCAGGCUUCUUGGAACAUUUGAUCCCUCUGGAAUCCCUCUAGCUCCAAGGGGCACCCCACAAGGCCACAAAUCUAAGUCACAUUCGAAGUAAACACCAGUAUAUUAAACAUGAAGGCAGAAUACAAUGUGGGUGGCAAAUUUGGAAAAGAUCACUUUCACCGAUCAGAAGGGUCGGUUAAGCCAAGAAAAGAGAGCAUAUGAUUCACGAAGCCCAAGAGUUUGCUGAACGUGAAUUCAUUAAAUAAUUUCACAUCAUAUUUUACAUAUAAGCGUAGCUUACAUUCAAUGU
Molecule: long non-coding RNA, 905 nt
Filed under: Helianthus annuus (common sunflower)
Lineage: Eukaryota; Viridiplantae; Streptophyta; Magnoliopsida; Asterales; Asteraceae
Description: hypothetical non coding rna
Source: RNAcentral